This 73-nucleotide transfer RNA is filed under the name Anaerolineae bacterium. RNAcentral's name for it is "tRNA-Lys". It matches the Rfam family "tRNA". From Rfam's summary of the family: Transfer RNA (tRNA) molecules are approximately 80 nucleotides in length. Their secondary structure includes four short double-helical elements and three loops (D, anti-codon, and T loops). Further hydrogen bonds mediate the characteristic L-shaped molecular structure. tRNAs have two regions of fundamental functional importance: the anti-codon, which is responsible for specific mRNA codon recognition, and the 3' end, to which the tRNAs corresponding amino acid is attached (by aminoacyl-tRNA synthetases). tRNAs cope with the degeneracy of the genetic code in two manners: having more than one tRNA (with a specific anti-codon) for a particular amino acid; and 'wobble' base-pairing, i.e. permitting non-standard base-pairing at the 3rd anti-codon position. Lineage: Bacteria; Bacillati; Chloroflexota; Anaerolineae. The record is from RNAcentral. RNAcentral also lists the same sequence under 2 other names.
GCCUCCGUAGCUCAACUGGCAGAGCAGCUGACUCUUAAUCAGUAGGUUCGGGGUUCGAGUCCCUGCGGGGGUA